AACGAACGCUGGCGGCAUGCCUAACACAUGCAAGUCGAACGAGGCCUUCGGGUCUAGUGGCGCACGGGUGCGUAACGCGUGGGAACCUGCCCUUAGGUUCGGAAUAACUCCCCGAAAGGGGUGCUAAUACCGGAUAAUGUCUUCGGACCAAAGAUUUAUCGCCUUUGGAUGGGCCCGCGUUGGAUUAGCUAGUUGGUAGGGUGAAAGCCUACCAAGGCGACGAUCCAUAGCUGGUCUGAGAGGAUGAUCAGCCACACUGGGACUGAGACACGGCCCAGACUCCUACGGGAGGCAGCAGUGGGGAAUAUUGGACAAUGGGCGAAAGCCUGAUCCAGCAAUGCCGCGUGAGUGAUGAAGGCCUUAGGGUUGUAAAGCUCUUUUACCCGGGAUGAUAAUGACAGUACCGGGAGAAUAAGCUCCGGCUAACUCCGUG
RNAcentral lists this ribosomal RNA (433 nucleotides) under uncultured bacterium. Its description in RNAcentral is "partial 16S ribosomal RNA". It matches the Rfam family "Bacterial small subunit ribosomal RNA", at positions 29 to 507 of the family's 1533-position model. The record is from RNAcentral.